This 484-nucleotide ribosomal RNA is filed under the name uncultured bacterium. Its description in RNAcentral is "partial 16S ribosomal RNA". It matches the Rfam family "Bacterial small subunit ribosomal RNA", at positions 30 to 507 of the family's 1533-position model. The record is from RNAcentral.
AUUGAACGCUGGCGGCAGGCCUAACACAUGCAAGUCGAGCGGAUGAAGGGAGCUUGCUCCUGGAUUCAGCGGCGGACGGGUGAGUAAUGCCUAGGAAUCUGCCUGGUAGUGGGGGAUAGCGUCCGGAAACGGGCGCUAAUACCGCAUACGUCCUGAGGGAGAAAGUGGGGGAUCUUCGGACCUCACGCUAUCAGAUGAGCCUAGGUCGGAUUAGCUAGUUGGUGGGGUAAAGGCCUACCAAGGCGACGAUCCGUAACUGGUCUGAGAGGAUGAUCAGUCACACUGGAACUGAGACACGGUCCAGACUCCUACGGGAGGCAGCAGUGGGGAAUAUUGGACAAUGGGCGAAAGCCUGAUCCAGCCAUGCCGCGUGUGUGAAGAAGGCCUUCGGAUUGUAAAGCACUUUAAGUUGGGAGGAAGGGCAGUAAGUUAAUACCUUGCUGUUUUGACGUUACCAACAGAAUAAGCACCGGCUAACUUCGUG